Molecule: long non-coding RNA, 753 nt
Organism: Rhipicephalus microplus (southern cattle tick)
Lineage: Eukaryota; Metazoa; Arthropoda; Arachnida; Ixodida; Ixodidae
Source: RefSeq, a predicted model, not a curated record
UGCCGCAAUAAUGUCGUCUGCUCGUUCCAGCCACUAAUGAUGAUAGCGCAUGCCAUUUGGCGCCAUCUCUUAAGCAUCAAGCAUACUAUUGCACGCAAAUUCAAUCCAAUCUAAGCCAAGCCGAAGCGGCCAGUGCGCGUUGCGGCGUGUUUUGUAUGCUGUGUCGGUAAUCUUGGCACGUUAUGGUGUGAUACUGAAGCUACACGGCUGCUUCAAGUUGCAAGUGAUAGAUAACAACGGCACUAAACGAUGGCAACAGGGCUGCCGGUAGGCCCUUCGGAGUCUACGAGUUUUGUGAUCGCUACUGGUUACGGCAGCUGAACGCCACCAAGAUGCGUUAGGCCUGCCGUGGGCCUAAAACUGGGAUUGAUGGCAAAAGAAGUGGCCGUGGCUACCUUGACCAGCGAAAGGGCGGCACGCUUCAUGACAUCUGUGUUGAGGAGGCGUCUGAUGCGCCGGUACAGGUCCAUGCGCUUGUCCAUUCCUGUCAGACGGGCACAUCGCACCGCAGUCAUGGGAGCCACGGGUACCGCCAGGGAGCGCUCCACGUCAGCCACUGUGGGCUCUUUGGUGCGCAGGGUCUCGUACAGUCGCCGGUAGCGCAUCAGCAGCGUGUUGGAUGCACGCCAGGGCAUGUCCCGUGCCGCCUGUACAAGCGUCACAAGGAGAGGCUUUGAAGGCGAGAACAGUGACCGACAACGGGGAAGUGCAUUUGUCGUAUUUCCGAGAUCCAAUAAAAUAAAGAUGUACAGA